This 379-nucleotide ribosomal RNA is filed under the name uncultured eukaryote. RNAcentral's name for it is "partial 18S ribosomal RNA". It matches the Rfam family "Eukaryotic small subunit ribosomal RNA", at positions 592 to 976 of the family's 1831-position model. The record is from RNAcentral.
CAAUAGCGUAUAUUUAAGUUGUUGCAGUUAAAAAGCUCGUAGUUGGAUUUCGGAUGGGAUUUGCCGGUCCGUCGUUACGAUGUGCACUGGCCAGUCCUAUCUUGUUGUCGGGGACUAGCUCCUUGGAUUCACUUCCUGGGACUAGGAGCUGACGAGGUUACUUUGAGUAAAUUAGAGUGUUCAAAGCAAGCCUACGCUCUGAAUACAUUAGCAUGGAAUAACACGAUAGGACUCUGGCUUAUCUUGUUGGUCUGUGAGACCAGAGUAAUGAUUAAGAGGGACAGUCGGGGACAUUCGUAUUUCAUUGUCAGAGGUGAAAUACUUGGAUUUAUGAAAGACGAACUUCUGCGAAAGCAUUUGUCAAGGAUGUUUUCAUUAA